Molecule: ribosomal RNA, 497 nt
Filed under: uncultured bacterium
Lineage: Bacteria
Description: partial 16S ribosomal RNA
Rfam family: Bacterial small subunit ribosomal RNA
Source: RNAcentral
GAUGAACGCUGGCGGCGUGCCUAAUACAUGCAAGUCGAGCGAACAGACGAGGAGCUUGCUCCUUUGACGUUAGCGGCGGACGGGUGAGUAACACGUAGGUAACCUACCUAUAAGACUGGGAUAACUUCGGGAAACCGGAGCUAAUACCGGAUAAUAUUUCGAACCGCAUGGUUCGAUAGUGAAAGAUGGCUUUGCUAUCACUUAUAGAUGGACCUGCGCCGUAUUAGCUAGUUGGUAAGGUAACGGCUUACCAAGGCAACGAUACGUAGCCGACCUGAGAGGGUGAUCGGCCACACUGGAACUGAGACACGGUCCAGACUCCUACGGGAGGCAGCAGUAGGGAAUCUUCCGCAAUGGGCGAAAGCCUGACGGAGCAACGCCGCGUGAGUGAUGAAGGUCUUCGGAUCGUAAAACUCUGUUAUUAGGAAAGAACAAACGUGUAAGUAACUGUGCACGUCUUGACGGUACCUAAUCAGAAAGCCACGGCUAACUACGUG